UGAGAAUCUGCCUUUUGCAGGGCAAGCAAUGC
RNAcentral lists this non-coding RNA (32 nucleotides) under Mus musculus (house mouse). The record is from RNAcentral. Lineage: Eukaryota; Metazoa; Chordata; Mammalia; Rodentia; Muridae.